This 645-nucleotide unclassified non-coding RNA is filed under the name Zea mays. RNAcentral's name for it is "misc RNA Zm00001eb104620". The record is from RNAcentral. Lineage: Eukaryota; Viridiplantae; Streptophyta; Magnoliopsida; Poales; Poaceae.
UUGGUGGAGGUGGAAUUUGGGGGAAAAUAUAAUAAAGAAACGCGGGUCGGGGAAGACGACUGCGGGGGGCGAGAUGCGUGGGUUUUGAACGCGGAGAGGAGGCGAUGCGGGGUUGGAAUCGACGAAUUUUUGGGACGGUGGCCGUGGAAAAACGCGGUUUUGUCCACCGGGAAGACGACCAGAGCUGCCCAACGAACCCCUUUUCCAAGUAGUACUAGCGUGUCUGCGUGUGUGACGAGACUGACGACGCUUGGCCAGACCCGUCCAUGCGGGCAAAGAACCGAACCCCCACCGCCCCACGACGGGCCGGCAGCGGCGGGGCCCGCGCGCGCCACCACGGCGGACUCCGCCCGGUACCGCUUCUCCAUGGACUCACUCGAUCUUGUUCUUGCACCGGUUGGGGGUCUUGGCACUGUUGCCGCCGCCGGGGGGCUUCCCCGCGGCCGCGGCGUCGUCGGUGCAAUGCACGAACACCUCGCGGGCGAUGUCGCCCUAGUCGCUCCACUUAAGCUUGGCGCGGUCCCGCAGCAGCUAACUUGUCUCGAGCAGGCGCACGACGGCACGGGCUGCUCAACACCUCUAUCAGAGACUGAAUUUUCCCAAAAGGAGAAGCUUACAAUUGCAGUGAUCGGACAGAAAUGUUGA